GAACAACUCUCAGCAACGGAUAUCUUGGCUCCUGCAACGAUGAAGAACGCAGCGAAAUGCGAUACGUUAUGUGRAUUGCAGAAUUCCGCGAAUCAUCGAGUCUUUGAACGCAACUUGCGCCMGAGGCUUGUCCGAGGGCAUUUCCGCUAGAGCGUCACC
Molecule: ribosomal RNA, 159 nt
Filed under: Sematophyllum beyrichii
Lineage: Eukaryota; Viridiplantae; Streptophyta; Bryopsida; Hypnales; Sematophyllaceae
Description: 5.8S ribosomal RNA
Rfam family: 5.8S ribosomal RNA
About the family: 5.8S ribosomal RNA (5.8S rRNA) is a component of the large subunit of the eukaryotic ribosome.
Source: RNAcentral